This 515-nucleotide ribosomal RNA is filed under the name uncultured bacterium. RNAcentral describes it as "partial 16S ribosomal RNA". It matches the Rfam family "Bacterial small subunit ribosomal RNA", at positions 28 to 523 of the family's 1533-position model. The record is from RNAcentral.
GAUGAACGCUGGCGGCGUGCCUAAUACAUGCAAGUCGAGCGAAUGGAUUGAGAGCUUGCUCUUAUGAAGUUAGCGGCGGACGGGUGAGUAACACGUGAGUAACCUGCCCAUAAAACUGGGAUAACUCCGGGAAACCGGGGCUAAUACCGGAUAACAUUUUGAACCGCAUGGUUCGAAAUUGAAAGGCGGCUUCGGCUGUCACUUAUGGACGGACCCGCGUCGCAUUAGCUAGUUGGUGAGGUAACGGCUCACCAAGGCAACGAUGCGUAGCCGACCUGAGAGGGUGAUCGGCCACACUGGGACUGAGACACGGCCCAGACUCCUACGGGAGGCAGCAGUAGGGAAUCUUCCGCAAUGGACGAAAGUCUGACGGAGCAACGCCGCGUGAGUGAUGAAGGCUUUCGGGUCGUAAAACUCUGUUGUUAGGGAAGAACAAGUGCUAGUUGAAUAAGCUGGCACCUUGACGGUACCUAACCAGAAAGCCACGGCUAACUACGUGCCAGCAGCCGCAGUAA